GUGAACGAGCGACGCCGCGUGGAGGAUGAAGGCCUUUGGGUUGUAAACUCCUGUCGAGGGGGAACAAGGGACGUUGUAGAGACGUUCUUGAGUGAUCCCUGGAGGAAGCACGGGCUAAGUUCGUGCCAGCAGCCGCGGUAAGACGAACCGUGCGAACGUUAUUCGGAAUCACUGGGCUUAAAGCGCGUGUAGGCGGAUUUGGCGCGUCGAGAGUUGAAAGCCCCCGGCUCAACCGGGGAAUUGGCAUCGAAACGGCCAGUCUUGAGGGAGGUAGGGGGAGCCGGAACUUCCGGUGGAGCGGUGAAAUGCGUUGAGAUCGGAAGGAACGCCCGUGGCGAAAGCGGGCUCCUGGACCUCACCUGACGCUGAGACGCGAAAGCUAGGGUAGCGAACGGGAUUAGAUACCCCGGUAGUCCUAGCCGUAAACCAU
RNAcentral lists this ribosomal RNA (430 nucleotides) under uncultured anaerobic ammonium-oxidizing bacterium. Its description in RNAcentral is "bacterial SSU rRNA". It matches the Rfam family "Bacterial small subunit ribosomal RNA", at positions 383 to 810 of the family's 1533-position model. The record is from RNAcentral.